This 207-nucleotide ribosomal RNA is filed under the name uncultured bacterium. RNAcentral describes it as "partial 16S ribosomal RNA". It matches the Rfam family "Bacterial small subunit ribosomal RNA", at positions 1296 to 1500 of the family's 1533-position model. The record is from RNAcentral.
GAUUGCAGCUGCAACUCGACUGCAUGAAGUCGGAAUCGCUAGUAAUCGCAGAUCAGCAAAGCUGCGGUGAAUACGUUCCCCGGGGCCUUGUACACACCGCCCGUCACACCACGGGAGUCGGUCGCGCCUGAAGCCGGUGGCCUAUCAGUAAUGGGGGAGCCGUCUAUGGCGAGAUUGGUAACUGGGGUGAAGUCGUAACAAGGUAUC